Molecule: transfer RNA, 72 nt
Filed under: Parcubacteria group bacterium RIFCSPHIGHO2_01_FULL_45_26
Lineage: Bacteria
Description: tRNA-Arg
Rfam family: tRNA
About the family: Transfer RNA (tRNA) molecules are approximately 80 nucleotides in length. Their secondary structure includes four short double-helical elements and three loops (D, anti-codon, and T loops).
Source: RNAcentral
GCUCCCGUAGUUCAACGGAUAGAAUGCAAGAUUGCGGAUCUUGCGAUAGAGGUCCGACUCCUCUCGGGAGCA